RNAcentral lists this ribosomal RNA (686 nucleotides) under Rhizobium sp. enrichment culture clone E1. RNAcentral's name for it is "bacterial SSU rRNA". It matches the Rfam family "Bacterial small subunit ribosomal RNA", at positions 38 to 763 of the family's 1533-position model. The record is from RNAcentral. Lineage: Bacteria; Pseudomonadati; Pseudomonadota; Alphaproteobacteria; Hyphomicrobiales; Rhizobiaceae.
UGCAACGAUCUCAACCACCUUACCAUGCAAGUCGAACGCCCCGCAAGGGGAGUGGCAGACGGGUGAGUAACGCGUGGGAACAUACCCUUUCCUGCGGAAUAGCUCCGGGAAACUGGAAUUAAUACCGCAUACGCCCUACGGGGGAAAGAUUUAUCGGGGAAGGAUUGGCCCGCGUUGGAUUAGCUAGUUGGUGGGGUAAAGGCCUACCAAGGCGACGAUCCAUAGCUGGUCUGAGAGGAUGAUCAGCCACAUUGGGACUGAGACACGGCCCAAACUCCUACGGGAGGCAGCAGUGGGGAAUAUUGGACAAUGGGCGCAAGCCUGAUCCAGCCAUGCCGCGUGAGUGAUGAAGGCCUUAGGGUUGUAAAGCUCUUUCACCGGAGAAGAUAAUGACGGUAUCCGGAGAAGAAGCCCCGGCUAACUUCGUGCCAGCAGCCGCGGUAAUACGAAGGGGGCUAGCGUUGUUCGGAAUUACUGGGCGUAAAGCGCACGUAGGCGGAUAUUUAAGUCAGGGGUGAAAUCCCAGAGCUCAACUCUGGAACUGCCUUUGAUACUGGGUAUCUUGAGUAUGGAAGAGGUAAGUGGAAUUCCGAGUGUAGAGGUGAAAAUUCGUAGAUAUUCGGAGGAACACCAGUGGCGAAGGCGGCUUUACUGGUCCAUUACUGACGCUGAGGUGCGAAAGCGUG